GGCAUCCUACGGGAGGCAGCAGUAGGGAAUCUUCCACAAUGGGCGAAAGCCUGAUGGAGCAACGCCGCGUGGGUGAAGAAGGUCUUCGGAUCGUAAAGCCCUGUUUUUAGAGAAGCAAGUGCGUGAGAGUAACUGUUCACGUUUCGACGGUAUCUAACCAGAAAGCCCCGGCUAACUACGUGCCAGCAGCCGCGGUAAUACGUAGGUGGCAAUCGUUAUCCGGAUUUAUUGGGCGUAAAGCGAACGCAAGCGGUCUUUUCAGUCUGAUGUGAAAGCCUUCGUCUUAACC
This 289-nucleotide ribosomal RNA is filed under the name uncultured bacterium. RNAcentral's name for it is "partial 16S ribosomal RNA". It matches the Rfam family "Bacterial small subunit ribosomal RNA", at positions 333 to 614 of the family's 1533-position model. The record is from RNAcentral.